UACGAAGGGGGCUAGCGUUGUUCGGAAUUACUGGGCGUAAAGCGCGCGCAGGCGGUUCUUCAAGUCAGAGGUGAAAGCCCAGAGCUCAACUCUGGAAUGGCCUUUGAGACUAGAGAACUAGGGUACGGGAGAGGUGAGUGGAAUUCCGAGUGUAGAGGUGAAAUUCGUAGAUAUUCGGAAGAACACCAGUGGCGAAGGCGACUUACUGGACACAUAUUGACGCUGAGGUGCGAAAGCGUGGGGAGCGAACAGG
RNAcentral lists this ribosomal RNA (253 nucleotides) under uncultured bacterium. Its description in RNAcentral is "partial 16S ribosomal RNA". It matches the Rfam family "Bacterial small subunit ribosomal RNA", at positions 524 to 776 of the family's 1533-position model. The record is from RNAcentral.